GCAGAGUGAGUGAGAUUGCCAGUUGAGGAAAACUAUCUGACGGGUAGAGGUUAAACCCAACACAACUCAAGUUUUACCUAAAAUGUCUCUUGAUGUUCUCCUACAAGCUGCAGAAUUCCUUGAAAGAAGGGAUCGAGAAGCUGAGCACGGUUAUGCUACUCUAUUGCCUGAUGCUGAGGAUGAAUUUCCAAGUCCAAAGCCUGUGAGACAGUCUAAAGUGUCGAAAAAGAUGCAGGGAGGGUCCAGGUCGAGCCAUAACGAGCUGGAAAAGAAUCGGAGAGCUCACCUUCGAAAUUGUCUGGAAGGUCUCAAGGAUUUGGUUCCCUUGGGCACUGACAGCUCGAGACAUACAACACUGGGUCUACUAAACAAAGCCAAACAUUUUAUACGGAACCUGGAGGACCGGGACCGGAAAAGUGUAGCACAAAAAGAAAAUCUUUUCCGAGAGCAAAGGUAUUUACGGAGACGCUUAGAGCUGUUGUCCUCCCAGGUCGACGCUAUCCAUAAACGUCGAUCCAUAUCCGAGUCUUCUACUUCUACAGUGUCAUCUAUACAGUCAUCCACUUCAGAGUCAGACGACCACGAGGUUGAUGUGCUGGGCUACGGUGGUGUGAGUGACGACGACAUAUCCAGUGUGCGUAGCACCGGAAGUGAUGGUGGUAUGAGCGUUAACACGUGGAAUCAGCUGACUAUUGUGGAUACCAAUGUUUAAGAUGACUUGUUAGCUUGUGAAGAGAAAAUUACAAUGAAUUCGGUAUAAUUGACAUGGAAACGAAACGUCCCAGUCCCUUACAACUUAAUCCAUUGAAACAAGGAAGAAAAAGUUUGCCUGGAUUAGCGAGAGAAAAGUGUUAAAUGAACUAAACCAAUGAAUUAAGAGUAACUGAUAAAUGUGAACUGAGAACAAGUGAAGUAUAUAUGUUAACAAAAUUGUCAAAAAUACCAAAAUGCAAUCGGAUUUAAAUCCAAGAAAAAAUCUUCAUGAAUUCCAACAAUUUUUAAAUUAUGACUUAAGCAGCUAGUAUUGUCAUUUCCUUUCUACAUAGAUUUUAUUGAACUAGAUUAAUUCAGUUUUAACCAAUUUAUCUUUUUUAAACUCUACAGUUCGACCAGAUUAUAAUGCCGCAAUUAUAAACUCCCACGAGGAUGGAUUUGAUAACUCGUGUCAAAUCCCUGAAAAUGAAAAUCUAGAAUGCGUGUAAAUGACUGAAAGUGUUGAUGAAACUAGUAUUUCUCCCACAGAUGAUCCCGGCGUAGCUUUCACUCAGUUUUUUAUUUUAAUUUUUAAUUCGUACUUAUUGUUUCUUUUAUG
RNAcentral lists this unclassified non-coding RNA (1312 nucleotides) under Eurytemora carolleeae. RNAcentral describes it as "max-interacting protein 1". Lineage: Eukaryota; Metazoa; Arthropoda; Copepoda; Calanoida; Temoridae. The record is from RNAcentral.